RNAcentral lists this ribosomal RNA (374 nucleotides) under uncultured organism. RNAcentral's name for it is "partial 16S ribosomal RNA". It matches the Rfam family "Bacterial small subunit ribosomal RNA", at positions 527 to 896 of the family's 1533-position model. The record is from RNAcentral.
GGAGGGCGCAAGCGUUGUUCGGAAUCAUUGGGCGUAAAGCGCGUGUAGGCGGCUUGGCAAGUCGGGUGUGAAAGCCCGGGGCUCAACCCCCGGAAUUGCACUCGAUACUGCCUCGCUAGAGUCCCGGAGAGGGUGGCGGAAUUCCCGGUGUAGAGGUGAAAUUCGUAGAUAUCGGGAGGAACACCAGCGGCGAAGGCGGCCACCUGGACGGUGACUGACGCUGAGACGCGAAAGCGUGGGGAGCAAACAGGAUUAGAUACCCUGGUAGUCCACGCCGUAAACGUUGGGUGCUAGGCGCUGCGGGUAUUGACCCCCUGCAGUGCCGACGUUAACGCAUUAAGCACCCCGCCUGGGGGAGUACGGUCGCAAGAUUA